This 615-nucleotide ribosomal RNA is filed under the name Trichoderma velutinum. RNAcentral describes it as "eukaryotic LSU rRNA". The stretch from base 225 to 378 matches the Rfam family "5.8S ribosomal RNA". Lineage: Eukaryota; Fungi; Ascomycota; Sordariomycetes; Hypocreales; Hypocreaceae. The record is from RNAcentral.
GUUGAAGCGGAGGGUCAUUACCGAGUUUACAACUCCCAAACCCAAUGUGAACGUUACCAAACUGUUGCCUCGGCGGGAUCUUCUGCCCCGGGUGCGUCGCAGCCCCGGACCAAGGCGCCCGCCGGAGGAAUCAACCAAAACUCUUAUUGUAUACCCCCUCGCGGGUUUUUUUUAUAAUCUGAGCCUUCUCGGCGCCUCUCGUAGGCGUUUCGAAAAUGAAUCAAAACUUUCAACAACGGAUCUCUUGGUUCUGGCAUCGAUGAAGAACGCAGCGAAAUGCGAUAAGUAAUGUGAAUUGCAGAAUUCAGUGAAUCAUCGAAUCUUUGAACGCACAUUGCGCCCGCCAGUAUUCUGGCGGGCAUGCCUGUCCGAGCGUCAUUUCAACCCUCGAACCCCUCCGGGGGGUCGGCGUUGGGGAUCGGCCUCCUCUCACGGGGGCCGUCUCCGAAAUACAGUGGCGGUCUCGCCGCAGCCUCUCCUGCGCAGUAGUUUGCACACUCGCAUCGGGAGCGCGGCGCGUCCACAGCCGUUAAACACCCAACUUCUGAAAUGUUGACCUCGGAUCAGGUAGGAAUACCCGCUGAACUUAAGCAUAUCAAAAAGCCGGGAGGAAAU